Molecule: long non-coding RNA, 239 nt
Organism: Sapajus apella (tufted capuchin)
Lineage: Eukaryota; Metazoa; Chordata; Mammalia; Primates; Cebidae
Exons: 3
Source: RefSeq, a predicted model, not a curated record
CUUCUGAUGGCAUUGGUUAUUGCAAGAAACCAGUAAGUAUCUGCUGUAUGCUAUGUCUACAUAAAAUGAUUUCUGUCACCUUAAAUAGAUCACUCUAGAACUUCAUGUAUAAAGGAACCACAUUGUAUGUGUAUAUACUAUAAGGUCUGGCAAAUAUUUGAGAUUCAUCCACAUUUUAUAUUCACUCAUCAAUAGUUGUAAACACAUUCUUAUGUGAAGUAAUGGAAAAGGUGGAGGCU